This 10322-nucleotide long non-coding RNA is filed under the name Equus caballus (horse). RNAcentral describes it as "lncRNA (ENSECAG00000042657.2)". Lineage: Eukaryota; Metazoa; Chordata; Mammalia; Perissodactyla; Equidae. The record is from RNAcentral.
UACUACGAUUUUAGGUACACAUGAGAUGCUCUAGGUGAGUAGAGAGUUGUCAGGAGGACUGCCUGUAGGAGACUAGUUAGGAAGGCAUCAAAACAGCACUGGAAAGAGACUACAGCAGUGUUUCUAGCUGGGGGCAUCAGAGUUAUCCACGGUUGGGGGGGCAGGGGUCUAGACUCUGGGCACAUUUAAUGUUGAUGUUACUUUUUGUGAGAAUUAAGUUCAAAUAUAAAUGCACAUCCCUUGGCAUAGACCAUGGCCGUGAGUGAAGGAUGCCUGGCAAUCAUUAUCCUAACCUAUUAUGACCUUUACCAGGGUGCUGAUAUGGGAACAUCAGUGAAAUGGUUGCCUAUCCCAUCGUUUGUUCAUGUCUGCCUCUCUCACCCAAUUUUCAACCUUGUUCCUUUUUGAUGGGAAUUUUCCUGAUUUUAAAACAGAAGACCCUGAGGACUAGGCAAAUCAGGACAGUUGGUGCCUCAUUCAGGGAGGGGCUGGUACCUGAGGAAUCAUUCUUUCUCUGUGGCCUCUUGCAGUGACUAUCACAUGGUGGCUCUCAACACUUUACCUGCCUGAUAAAAUAAACCAAAGUUUUGCCUUAAAAUUAAAUAAAUAUGAUAGUUCAUAAUGAUAAAAUGUGACCAGUUUAGUUUAAAAGUCAGUCUUUAGUAUACGUGUCUUGGAAAUAUGAGAAAAGAGCCUCUUGGGUAGUUUUCUUCGUUCUUCUGUUUAAUCUAGGUUUAAAUUCAGGGGAAGCACGAUUCCAACCAUUCCUCCCAUGAGAAGUGUUUCCAAGGGCAAGUGCUCAACAGACACAGCUGGCGCUGUCUCUGUGUUCCAUGUUUAGAAGGGAGACAAGCUCACCUUUCCCUUUGCUCAGCCAUGGACCACUUGUGUCCUGGUAUUUUAAUGAGUACUGAAAUUUAGAAGAGAAAAUAGUGUUCACGCAUUAUUUUAUUUCUCUAUUUCUUUGAGUCCAAAUUUUCAUAAAGGUUCAUAUAAUUUCAAUAGGUUUAUCCUAAUUUAUAUAAAUAGGGUUAUAUUAAUGUAUAAAUCAAUGAGCCUAUUUGAGACAUGAUUAGAUGAAUGUUCUGCAAAAGUAUAAUUUCUCAAAAGUUAAAUAUGUGACUGUCACAUAAAUAUGGGAUGAAUGAACAUGUAUCAAAUGUUUAUUUAAAUCAUCCAUGAGCAAGCAAACAGGUGUCAGAAAUGGUUCAAAAAGCAUUUGAUUUGAUCAGUACCUUUUAUAAACCUCUGAGAAAGACACACUGAAAUACACGCUAUUGAUUUUUAUUUUGACUUUUGCAAUUUGUUGCUUUAUGAAAAGUAUUUGGGCUGGAGUUGUGCUGUCUCGAGCUGGGUAUUUCAAUUUUCAAGGUAAGGGAGCCUCUGAUAAUACCACACCUGGUUAGGUUCUGGUUAAUAGUUUGCCCCGAGGGCAAGCUUGUUAAGAAGAACAGAAUGCUCUGGUGCAUUUCAAAAUUGUUUUAUUCCCUGUCCAGCUGGAAGCCUGAAAAGAAACCACACAUUUGGUGUCAGGAGAAAAAUAAUACUGAUUGCUUGGGCUUUUGUUUUCAGUUACAGUAAAAUUACUUGAUUUCUUGAUUCAUUACUGGGCACAAAUAUACGUGUUAACAUGCAACUUCACAGAUUAUGGACCCUGAUUACUAGUAAAUAGUAAGUGAAACACAGAUGCAUUCACCUCAAAGCCAAAUAACCUUUGAGCGGGCCUGUUAAACAAUGCUCCAGUAUAACACUGAAAGGAAAGAGUGCUCUUCCUUUGCUGUAUUUUCUGUUUUAGGUAAUUCUUCUUUACACUUAGGCCAGAAUCAGCAUAGACUCUGAGGUAGACAUUUUUUUCUUUCAUUAAAAACAAUCAAGAUGAUGAUAAUGUCGGGGAUCAAAAUUGUCCACCUCAAAAUGUGUCUAACUGGCUUAAUUUUUAAGCUAAAGACUCUGAAAGAAUGUUUAACAAUUCCCUUAAGUGCCUAAAAGAAUUUAAGUUAGAAGACCUGUUCGCAGGACAAGCCAUCACUAUAGAUAAUUCUCAGUAUCCAUAGACCGUGAGGGUCCUUGCUAAACCCAUCCUUAUCAAAGUUUUAUCUACUGAGUGCUUGCUUUUCCAUUUCCAAGUGAAUUGUCUUCCUCCCCUUUGAAGCCCCAAAACACUAUCCCCAAUUUCUUCCUUUGUCUUUAGCUGAAGAUGAUAUUUAAGUUGACAGCUUCAGCCAUUCUGCUUGAGCCACUCAAUUUUCCUGGGUUUCUUCCGUGCAUACACAUUAUAAAGUUUUGAGUUUCUCCUGUCAUUCUGUCUCAUGUCACUUUAAAUCUCAGACCAGCCAGAAGGACCUAGAGGGUAGAGGAAUUGUCUUAUUCCCCUACAAUAACAGUGAGCAUUUAUACAGCAUUUACAAUGGGCCAGAUACUCUUCCAGAUACUUUACAAAUAUUUCACUUAAUCCUUCCAGUAAUGCUACAAAGUGAAUAAUGUUAUUACUCACAUAUGAUAGAAGAGGAACAUGAAGCUUAUUUAUAAUUGUGAUACAAGAUCACAAAAUGGGUGAGGAAUACAAACAGGAUUAAAAUAUACACAAACAAAAUUGAGACUUCAAGAGUUUAUAGGCUAUCAAAGCAUUGAUACCCAGUUCUUGAUGCAGUAAAAGUUCACCUUCAGAUGAUUCAUUUAAAGAAGUGUUUUUCAAAGUGUAAUUAGCAAGCCCUUUGAGUGAUUCAGAUGUUCCCUAAAGUUUGAGAACCUUAAAUCUAAGGUGAUUUAGAUGUACAUUCUUACACUGUGCUACCACAGGAUAAAAAUGUUCCUUUAAAACAAAAACAUUGUUUACAUUCUUGUAGAUCAUAAAAAUUGGUAGAUGGAUGGGCUGUUUUGAAGAUUAAAUAUAAUGCAUGUAAGUUUAUUUAGAAUGCUGAGCAUACUUGCUAGCAUGUAGAAAUGCUUAAUAAAUAAAAUCUAUUAUUAUUAUUAUUACACUAAGAAAAAACGAUAAUCUGUCUAUUUCAGGCAAUUAAGUCACAUUUGUACAGUUCAAGAAGUGGAAUUCCAGAUAUUACCUCCAAUAAGUGUGUGCAUUGCUGUUAUCCUUAACAGUGACACAUCUCUUCACCUUCCCAUUCAGGGUUCUUUUGCUUUUAGCAAAACCUAGGAGGUAAAUAAAUUAAUUGCCCCAUUUACUCUUUAAGAAAUACUUAAAUCUGUGUUCCUUUGCCAAAGGUGAUUUGCCAUUGAAAGUGUCAUUGCGCUGGGAAAGAUAUUUUGUAGCUGUAGGAAACUUUAAGUGGUCUCAUAGGACUUCUAAAUAAAAAUGACAUGAGGCCAGGAGCAGAAAGAAGUACACUCAACACUGAUGUAAGCAAACAUUUGUAGUCAAAUUGUCAGAAAGUACCAUCUACACGCCUCAUGGAUGAGGACUCUCUACUAAGGAGGUGAGUUUAAUUUGUUUCAGAAUUAUUUUUCAUUAUGCCAGGAAGGCAUUUGAAUUGAUUUAUAUUUAUCAUGUGUUUGGUAUUUUACAUGUAAAUUUUGAGUUUCAGAAUAACUUUUGUAAAACUGUUUACUUUUCUCCUCACUUACUGUUAGGAUGAAAAAAAGGAACAUAAUUGCUAAGAUUCUGUCAAUUACUCUAUCAGCAAUGUUUUCUUCUUUUAAAGGGAUAAAUUGUCACAGGUAAAUGCAGUCAUAGAGAUUUAAUUACUCCAGCUCUUCCAUAUUUUUGUAUUUGUUCCUUAUACAUUCCUAUUCUAUAUUAUAUUUCAUUCUAUUGAUAGACUGCAUGUAUUUAUUAAUUCUGCUUGUGAUGAGCAUUUGGAUUGUUUUCAGUUCGGGUCUACUGUGAAUUAAACUGCUGUAAACAUUUCCAUAAUUGUCAUUUCAUGGAAUGAGCUGAUGUUUCUGCUUGGUAAGUAGACCACAGUGGAAUUAUUGGUUCAUAAAUUAUAAGAAUGUCGAGCUGUACUAGAUAUUACAAAAAUUUUUUCCAAGUUUUUUAUGCCAACUUACACCCUAUUGGCAAUUUUCAGUUCAGAAUUGAGAGUUCCAGUUCUUCAAAACCCUGAAAACACUGGUAUUGUUAGUCUUUUUAAUUUGAGCCAUUGCAAUGUGUUUUCAAUUGCAGUGUUUUUUUACUAUUUUGUUGAGAUCAUAAUAGUUUAUAACAUUGUGAUAUUUCAGUUGUACAUUAUUAUUUGUCUAUCACCAUAUAUAUGUGCUCCUUUACCCCAUUGGCCAAUCAGCAAACCCUUUCCCCUCUGGUAACUGCUAAUCUGUUAUCUUUGUCCAUGUGUUUGAUUACCUUCCACAUAUGAGUGAAGUCAUAUGGUGUUUGUCUUUCUGUCUGGAUUAAUUCACUUAACCCUCAAAGUCCAUCCAUGUAGUUACAAAUGGGAUGAUUUUGUCUUAUUUUUAUGGCUGAGUAGUAUUCCAUUGUAUAUAUGUAUGUACCCCAUAUCUUUUUUAUUCAUUCAUCAGUUGAUGGGAACCUGGGUUGCUUCCACAUCUUGGCUAUUGUGAAUAAUGCUUCAAUGAACACAGGGGUGCAUAAGUCUCUUUGGAUUAUUGAUUUCCAGUUCUUUGGAUAAAUACCAAGUAAUGGGAUAACUGGGUCAUAAGGUAUUUCAAGUUUUAAUUUUUUGCAAAAUCUCCAUACUGUUUUCCAUAGUGGCUGCACCAGUUUGCAUUCCCACCAGCAGUGUAUGAAGGUUGCUUUUCUCCAUAUCCUCUCCAACAUUUGACAUUUUUUGUCUUGGUAAUUACAGCCAAUCUAACAGGUGUAAGGUGAUAUCUCAUGGUAGUUUUGAUUUGCAUUUCUUUAGUAAUUGCUGAUAUUGAAUAACUUUCCAUGUGGCCUUGCUAUCUGUAUAUCUUCCUUGGAAAAAUGUCUGUUCAUAUCCUCUGCCCAUUCUUUUAUUGGGUUGUUUGUUUUGUUAUUGUUGAGUUGUAUGAGUUCCUCAUAUAUUUUAUGUAUAUAUAAACUUAUACAUUAUAUAUAUUAUAUAUCCAUAUAUUAUAUAUAUAUAUAUUAACUUCUUGUCAAUAUAUGAUUUGCAAAUAUCUCCUCCUAGUUGGUAGGUUGUCUUUUUGUUUUGUUUCUGGUUUCUUAUGCCUUGCAGAAGUACUUUAGUCUGAUGAAGUCCCAUUUGUUUAUUUUUACUUUUGUUUCCUUGCCUGAGUAGACAUGGUAUUCAAAAAGAUACUUCUAAAACUGAUGUCAAAGUGCGUACUACCUGUAUUUUCUUCUGAGAUUUAUAGUUUCACAUCUCACUUUCAAAUUUUUAAUGCAUUUUGAGUUAAUUUCUGUGUAUGGUGAGAGAUAACGGUCUACGUUCAUUCCUUUGCAUGUGGCUGUCCAGUUUUCCCAACACUAUUUAUUGAAGACACUUUCCUUUAUCCAUUGUAUUUUCUUAGCUCCUUUGUCAAAGAUUAGCUGUCUGUAGAUGUGUGGUUUUAUUUCUGGCCUUUCAGUUCUGUUGCAGUGAUCCAUGUGUAUGCUUUUGUACCAGUACCAUGCUGUUUUGAUUACUAUAGUUUUCUAGUAUACUAGUCAGAGAUUGUGAUGCCUCUACAUUUGUUCUUUAUUCUCAAGAUUACUUUAGCUAUUCAGAGUCCUUUGUUGUCCCCUAUGAAUUUUAGGAUUCUUUGUUCUAUUUCCAUGAAGAAUGUCAUUGAGAUUGUGAUGAAUCCUUAGAUUACUUUAAGUAGUAUGGACAUUUAAACUUUGUUUAUUCUUCCAAUCCAUGUUUAUAGAAUAUCAUUCAAUUUCUUUGUGUCACCAGUGAUUUUUUAAAAUAAUGUCUUACAAUUUUCAUUGCAUAGGUAUUUCACAUCCUGGCUUACAUUUAUUCAUAGAUAUUUUAAUCUUUUUGUUGAGAUUGUAAGUGGGAUUGUAUUCUUGAGUUCUCUUUCUUUAGAUUUGUUAUGAAGUAUAGAAACACAAUUGAUUUUUGUAACUCGAUGUUGUACCUUCCAACUUUGUGUAGUUGUUGAUUAUUUCUAAUAUUUUUCCAAUAGAUUCUUUCAGAUUUUCUAUACAUAAAAUCAUGUCAUCUGCAAGUAGUGAGAAUUUCACUCCUUAGAUGCCACUUGGAUGCCAUUUACUUCUUUUUCUUGCCUAAUUGCUUUGACCAAAACUUCCAGUGUUGUGUUGAAUAAAAGUGGUGAGAGUGGACACCCUUGUCUUGUUCUUGUUCUCAGAUUGAUGGCUUUUAGUGUUUCCUCACUGAGUAUGAUGUUUGUUCCCUUAAUAGAGAAACCUCAGUCCUUUUGAACAUAGAAAACUAUUUUAACAGACAUAGAUAUUCUGUCCUAAUGGUAAACUUACCAAAGUUAAAGAAAAACCUUGUAUAACCUCUUUAUCAAGAGCAGACUAACACUCCAGGAAAAUUAUCCAUUUACGAGAGAGAAAACCAAAUUUUAAUUUUUGCAUGAGCUUAUUUUUGACAUUAAAAUUCAUUUACUUGGGGUCAAGACAAUGUAUGAAGAAUUUCAAGAAAAUGAGAAAAUACUAAAUUCUUGAGUUUGAAAGUACUGGUCUGUGAAAAUGUGUCUAUGUAUGUGGAAGUACGUGUGUGUGUGCAUAGAGUAUGUCCCAUAAUUAUGCCUUUGUGAAGCUGUUCUAACUUCACAAAUGUAAAUGCUACUAAUAUAAAACACAUUAUUUGGAGAUUUAAUUAUAUUUUCAUUGUAAUUAUUUUAAAUAAUAGUAAAUGGUUAGUUUGAAUUUUUGUGUCACUCGUUCUGAGUGAAAAUGACAAAGAUUGAUGGAAACAAUAAAAACUUAAAUAUUCAAAAUUAAAUAAGUAUAAAAUAAAGUUCUACUUCUGGAUAGAUGAAAGUAGAAAACUUAUUAUGGGGGACGGCCUAUUGGCAGACUAUUUAAGUUUGCAUGCUCCACUUUAGUGGCCGAGGGUUCACAGGUUCAGAUCCCAGGUGUGGACCUAGCACUGCUUAUCAAGCCACACUGUGGCAGCAUCCUACAUAAAAUAGAGAAAGAUUGGCACAGAUAUUAGUUCAGUGACAAUCUUCCUAAAGCAAAAGGAGGAAGAUUGGCAGUGGAAGUUAGCACAGGGCCAAUAUCCCUUAGAAAAAGAAAAGUUAUUAUGUGGAAAAAUGAAGCAGACAUUUGCACAACAUGGAUGAAGCUGAAGGGCAUUAUUCUCAAUGAAAUAAACCAGAGAGAGAAGACAACACUGCAUGAUAUCACUUAUAUGUGAAAUCUAAAAAAAAAAAGGUCAACUUACAUAAACAGAAAGUAGAAAGGUGGUUGCCAGGGGCUAUGGGGUGGGGGGAAAAAGGGAGAAGCAGGUAAAAGGGGACAAACUUUCAACUCUAAUGUCAAGAGCUUCUGAGGAUCUAACGUCUGACGUAGUGUCUAGAGUCGAGAACACGGGAUUGUACAAUUGAAAUCAGCUAAGAGAGAAGCACUUCAAUGUUCUCACACACACAAAGUCAAUAUGUGAGGUGAAAAAAUAUCGGAGGUUAGGACAGAGGCGAAUCAGGACGUGAAUCCCUGGGAACCAGCCUAAAUUUCCAGGAGAACUUCAGACCUUCAAAGGCCAUGACAUAGGUGGGUUGAAACCAAGAAUCCAGGAGACACAAGGAACCGGGUGACAUCUGGCCUCCAGGUGGAAGGAAUAGAAAACUACCCAAGGUCUAGAAGGCCCAGGAGGGUGGAGGGAGGCAGUUGUAGGCCAGUUGGUGGGGGAGGGGCUGUGGUCCAAUCUGCUUCCCUGCUGUCCCCUCGCCUCCUCAGGAGCCCUUGUGACACGGCCACAGUUCCAUGAUGAGGGCGUGGGGUUCUAAUCUCCAAGUCACUCCCAGUGCUCAGUUGCCUGAGAGUAGAACUGUAUUGAGAUAUGGAAACUCCUAUCUUAUAUAUAAAAAGCAUUGUUGUUACCUGGCUGAGCUCCAGUUCUGCUUCCUGGGUGAUUGGGACCAUCCUCCGCAUCCUGUAUGGACUGGGGCUCUUCCUCCUGUUCCUUCCCUCCCUCCAGAGGAAUUUGCCCUUACAACCACCUUACAAAAGGAGAAACGUCAGGAAGCAUCAAGUGGAGCCAAGAGGGAGGAGCAGCAGGAGCAGGAAGAAAAGGGGAGCUUUGAAAGCUUACAGAGCUGGCUGGAAGGACCUGGCAGAAGUGCGGGGCCAGAUGUCGCUUUCGCAAAGCUCCCCGGCGAGGCUGUCUUCUAAGGGAUGCUUCCAUCGCUUGUCAUCUCAAGACGCCCCGGGGGUGGCCUGCAAGACAGCGUCUUCCAGAGUCCGCCAACCAUGCGGGAAGCCUGUGGAAGGUACUCCUCUCACCCCCACUCCAGUACUUUUCCUUGCUCCUCUGACCCAGCCCAUUCUACCUUUGGUCUCCACUCUGCCAGCAGAACCUCCAUCUGACUUGACCAGAAUCCCGCUAGGCCCUGUUGCCAUGAGCUCAACUCCAGCUCACUCCUGUUGGCCAUUUCCCAACUCAGGCCUCGGCCACAUGAGCUGUCGCAUUGAGUUCCUCUCCCAGUGGAACAUAAUCAAGGUCUUGUUCUUCCCUGUGUCAUCACACCUCGAGUCCCAGCAAGGGCACCUGUUCUGUCACUGACCAGUGCCCUCAUUCUGGGGAGGCCCCGCAAAUAGGGAGGGAGAGACUGAUAGCCCCUCAGUUGCCAACCCUGAUGUCCAGAAGCUGCUUGAGACAGAAAUCACAGAAAGAAUACAUACGAAGGUCUGGGGAAAAGAAGACCAAGGUGAUCCAGGCACUCCUCAGAUGCUCGAAGCACACAAUAUCAUGUCUGGGCUGAAUUUCUGCUGAGGCCUACCCCUCCUGUCCUUGGAGCCUGCAGAUCUGAAAGCAUGUGGGGCUCAACACUCGGCCCUUCCACGGUCCCCUUUUCCCCCUCAGCCACCUGUGAUUCUGGGGCCCACUCGAAAGCUGACUUUGCACAGUUCAUGGGAAAACCUCUUGAGCCUCCUCCAGGUGACAAAGUCUUAACUUUGACAACAAAAGCAUCAGUUCCCAGCCUGCCCCAUCCCCUCCCUGCUGCCUCACCUAUGUGUGAGGAAAAUCAGAAGGCCCUGGGAUGGACCCUACCUGGCGAUGCCAGUGAGCCCUCAGAAGCCUCUCUCUUGGGGCAGGAGGGCCGGCUGCCUUCUCCAACCUUCACAUUCAGGCUCUCAGAGAGAAAAGGGCAGAGUGGGACCAUCAAGGGGGCCUAGCAAGGCCGUUUAGAGCUGAGUUCAGGGUGCCCAGUGGCCAGGAAUGAGCCUCGGGAAUAGAGUAAGGGUGGGGCCUCACCAGAGCCCUGCCGUGGGGUGGCAACAGUGGAGGGGGAGUCAGGGUUCCAGUCUUGGACCCAGCUCAGGGGAAUAUUAGACACCCUUGGGACCAAACCCCUCCAGCCCAUGCCUGAAAAGGAAGAGGUUUAUCACAACAGCCCUUUCAGAAAAAUGUUGAGACGCCUCCUGCCCUGUCUGAGGCCCAAAAAGGAGGAAGCACCAGAGAAUCCCCUUGCAAAGGAAAGCCCGUGUCAGCCAUCGCCCAGAGCCAGGCACGGGUCACACACAGCUCGGAGUUGGAUGGCAGGGCUGUUCAGGCGCCAUCGACAGUGACAUCCUUUGUCCGGGUCCUGGGAGAAAACAGGCUUGCAGAGAACUUCUGGCCUCCCAGUCGAAGCAUCAUAAAAACCAUUUCAGGCCUGGGAAGCUGGACAUGCCUGUUACCAUGAUGUUCCCUCCUCCCCAGACCAGAGAAGAACAAUGACAGAGGUCAGUCCCCAAACUACCUCCAGGGACCACAACUGUCUGAAUAUGAGGGAAUGGAUCAAAACAAGCAUGGCAACUGGACCUUGCCAUCCAGGCAGCCGCAGUCCCCAGCCAAACCCUGCCAGCCUGGGCUGAGGGUGGCAGCUGUCUCAGGCAAUCCAUUACCCGCCAUGCUGUCUCCAGAUAUGUGUCUCCUGGGAUGAGUAGACUGUGCCUGACACACCUUUCCUCGUAGGUAUGCUUAUCUCCCCAAACGGGGAAGUGGAGGAAAAGAAAACCUGGUUUUUCUCCUUAUCCCACCCUCUGUGCUAAUGGUGUCUUCCUACCCCAAUUUUCCCCAAAUACAUUUUUUUCUCCUUAGAGUUCAUGGCUUCUGUCUGUGCCCUGCUAGUGGUAAAAACGGGGUGAGGCUCCGCCCUUCCUAAGUGUCAGCUUUGGCUUCCAGAAGGGACAGGGCCAUGGGGGGAGGCUGACUGCAGCAUGGCUCACCCGCCCUCAUCCCGACUCCCUCAUUGCACCUGAAGUCCCCAUCAUGCUGUCCGUACAAAAACAAAUGGAAGCUUAAGAUAUUUCCAGAUGA